Molecule: ribosomal RNA, 462 nt
Filed under: uncultured bacterium
Lineage: Bacteria
Description: partial 16S ribosomal RNA
Rfam family: Bacterial small subunit ribosomal RNA
Source: RNAcentral
CCUACGGGCGGCAGCAGUGAGGAAUAUUGGUCAAUGGACGGAAGUCUGAACCAGCCAUGCCGCGUGCAGGAAGACGGCUCUAUGAGUUGUAAACUGCUUUUGUACAAGGGUAAACCUGAAUACGUGUAUUCAGCUGAAAGUACUGUACGAAUAAGGAUCGGCUAACUCCGUGCCAGCAGCCGCGGUAAUACGGAGGAUCCAAGCGUUAUCCGGAGUGACUGGGUGUAAAGAGUUGCGUAGGUGGCAUAAUAAGUAGCUAGUGAAAUCUGGUGGCUCAACCAUUCAGACUAUUAGCUAAACUGUUAAGCUCGAGACCGUUAGGGGUAACUGGAAUUUCUAGUGUAGGAGUGAAAUCCGUAGAUAUUAGAAGGAACACCAAUAGCGUAGGCAGGUUACUGGGACGGUUCUGACACUAAGGCACGAAAGCGUAGGGAGCAAACGGGAUUAGAUACCCGUGUAGUC